Pezoporus flaviventris is the source of this 584-nucleotide long non-coding RNA. RefSeq lists it as uncharacterized. Lineage: Eukaryota; Metazoa; Chordata; Aves; Psittaciformes; Psittacidae. The record is from RefSeq and is a predicted model, not a curated record. The transcript is spliced from 3 exons.
GGGCUGAUUGCUGGCUUUUGGCUAAGCUCAGCUCUAAAUCAUUCUGUAGUUAAAGGAAUCCAUUCUGGUUACUUAGAGCUGAAAUCAUUAAAUGGGUGCCAAGUCAUAGAGCAGGUUUUUUAAAAAGAGUCCCUUUGGAGUUCUAGCCUGGCUCCCUGCUCAAGUGGGGUCAACCAGAGCAGGUUGCUCAGGACUGUGUCCAGUUGGGCUUUGAACAUCUCCACAGAUGGAGACACCACAACCUCUCUGAGCAAGCUGUUCCUGUGUCUGAUCACCUGCACUGGGAAGUAGUGUUGCACCAGAAUGUCCUGUGUGUCUGUUUGUCCUGUCCUCUUGGUUACACCCUCCCUUCAGUCUUCCAGCCCUUGUGGUCCUGAGACUUCCUGAGCUGGAUGUGGUCUUGGCUGCUGGGAAACCUCAGUGGGGUUCUCUUCCAUGGAUCUUUCAUGCCUUUGCUUAAACGCUUGUAAACCUGUGGCCUCCUCAGCAUUCUCCAGCAAAUGUGCAUUUGCUGUGUGAAGAGCCACCUUUUGUAAAGAUAGGGGAAGAAAGAAAGGAUAAAUAAAUAAAUGUUUUGAACCUGA